AAAUGUUCGCUGAAUGCAGUCCUGCAUUGAUAGAAAUACAAUUCGAGCUGCAUUUUUACUGUAAGAUGAUCCAGAUGCAUGUUGUUUACUUUAAUACAUUGUGUCAGUCUAAUUUAUAAAAGUUUGUGCAUCAAAUACUUGAAUAAGUUGAAUCCUUUGAAAAUGUUGACAUAAUUAUAAAUAAAUAGAAAUAUACGUACAUCUCAUGUUUUCAAUAGUGUGUUUUCACGUGAACCGCUGUGACGUCACUAGAAUUUAGCGUCCGCCAUGUUGGUGGAGUAAAACGCGUCACGUGCGAGGAAUUUACUAGUGUUUACUAGUAUAGCUGUGCCAAACCUGUUCGAAAUAUUCCUCAAUAUGCCGACUUUUUGUGUAGUUUUAAACAGUUCAAAUGACAAACCUAAAAUGUAAAGAUCUUUCUUUCUGCCGGGUGCCGAAAGUUAUUAAAAAUCAAGGCGAGGAAAUGGAGAUUUUGUGAACCAAACGCAGUCGAAGAAUCGACGAAGAUGGCUGUCGGCCAUAUUAAAUUGGAGUCGCCGGAGAAUACAGAAGAAAUGGUCAAAGAGAAGUUACAGAGAGUAAACGAACCUGGCGAGGUUGUUUAAUGUUUAUUUGAUCCUAUGACUAUGGACGAUAUCGCAGACAAUUGUCCAGAAAACCUGAGAAACGCCGACCAUAAGCCCACAACAGUUGGCAUUCAGACAAGCGAGUGUCAUAAUUCUAUGCUUCAAUCCGAGUUUUAAUUUCUGGGUAAACCAUGUUCUGCUGACUUUUAUUGAUAGACAAACUAAUCUCCUUGCAAGGGCACAGACGUUUUCAAGUUACAAGCAUCAUAACACUGUUAAAGUGUUAAUUGGAAUUACAACACAACUCACAAGGUACAAUUUGCUUUGUCAGUGAAGCUUGGGGAGGGAGGAAUUCAGAUAAGUUUCUGACUGAGAACUGUGGCUUACUGGACAACCUUAUACCAGGUGAUUUGGUUCUGGCGGAUAGGGGUUUCACUGUCCAUGAAAGUGUUCGGUUUCACCAAGCCAAAUUGAAUAUUCUGGCAUUCACAAAAGGAAAAGACCAACUUGAUUCUGUUGAUGUGGAACAGACAAGAAAGAUUGCUACUGGCCGGAUACAUGUCGAAAGAAUUAUUGGUUUACUGAGACCGAAAUAUACCAUUCUUCAACAAACUUUGCCAACUGAAUGAACUGAUUACCUUAUUUGCAGAAAAGGAGAAUCUGUUCCUCUCAUUGACAGAAUGAUUAAAGUUUGCUCUGCACUAGUAAACCUUUGCCUUCAUACUAUAUACCUUUUGAUUGAAGUAAAGUAUUUUACAACAUUAUGUUUUCACCAAGAAACAGAAACACAUUCUUUCAACAUUUGAAAAUUUGGUGGUCAAGUCUGAGAACCUCCUCAUGGUGACCAUGCAUGGGCAACAGCAUGUUGUGUAAAUCAGGGGUGGAUUAGUAAGCUACUUUAAUUGUACUUUGUCAAAAAGAGACCCCUUUGCAGCUGCAAAGUAAAAAAUUUACCCCUGCUUGUUUCAUGACAUGCUGGCUAAUCUCAGCAAUAAUAUUUCAUGCAAUUCUCAUGGGGGCUUGUGAUAUAGGGAAUAAAUACAUCAAUAUUUUAACUAGGCCUGUUUGAAUACCAUGAACAUUGAAACAAUGUAAAAACCAUGUCUGUUGGGACUGUAUUAUUGGUGGGGGUUAACUAAUUGAUUGGGCCACCCAAAGACUUGGGGUAGGCCAGGGCAAUAAACUAUUUUAGGGUCCCAUAGAUAUGAUUUGACAAAGCCAUAUUUUGUGUAAAGUGCUGAGAUUAGCCAAAAGCUUGUGCAAAAGUUUGCAAUCGCACAGGGGUAGAUUAACACUUUAACAGACCAACAUAUGACAUUGUACAAAUAAUAUGCAAAAUAAAAUGUUGUCCAGUUAAACAAUAUAGGGGUCCUGGUGUGCUAAUCCGCCCCGUGUUUACACAACAUGCUGUUGCCCAGUGGUCACCAUGUGGAGGUUCUCAGUCUUGACCACCAAAAAUGUUUAAUGUUUAUCAAAGUCUUAAGUCUGUAAUAAUUUUCAAAUGCAAAAAGUUUGUAUCUUUGAUAGAGUUUUAUAUAUAAUAAUUUUAACAGUUAGUUCAAUAAAAAUGCAAACUGAAUCAGUAUUGGUGUAAGCUUUUUUAUUUUGUGCUCUCAGCCGUCGGAAAAAGAGUAAUGAGACCAUAUAUAUUUGAUUGAGGACUGGAAAAUUAAUUCAUGUCAGUUAACUCCAUUAAGAUGCAAUGUAACUGAUACUGUAUAAAUGCAACCUACUUUAUUAUUUAUUUUCUGCCUAACACCAGGCAAUGUUAUUUGUUGAAAAUAUUCAGUGAUAAAGAUGAUUGCCGCAGCUUUGUAUAGAAAGCAUGUUUUAGUUGUUUUAGCAGCCCAAUUGAGAUACGUAGUAGGUCUUGUACACCUAUAAACACAGUGCAUAACAAAGUCUGUGCUCUCUUUGUUAAAUAUCUUUUAGUUGUUUUCAUCAAUGGAAGUGGUUACACAUGAGGAUAUUCUUGUCAUAACAUGGACAGGAUGAAGAACAUCUGGAUGUGAUGUGGUGAAUGAUGGCGAUAUAGCUCUGGAGAUGAAAGCUGUUACUCACUGGUACUUCAAUGUAGCUGUGAACCUUCGUUGCAUUACAAUACCCUUCAUCUCAAUAUCUUCAAUGGAAGGCUUACUGUCUUGGCAUAAAAAGAAUCACACUGCACUACCAUACGAAAUGUGUGAUGUUAUGCUGUACUGCAUUGAAACAACCACUACUAAUAGUGUUUGCCAUAAAUAGAAAUGCAAAAUUGGUUUUGGCUGCAGAGUCUUGUAAUACUGACUUUUCUAGCACUCAAAAUAACGGGUCAAGGGUCAAUCAUCUGGCAUACAAAAUAAUAUCAGUAGCUACAUAAAUUGUGUAUUUGACCCCAAAACUCUGGUUUGAACAUCAUCCUGACCUAUUAAAUUCCCUGAUUUGUUUCAAGUGCUGUUUUUUGUUUGUGCUGUAUUGAGAACUGACUGUAGUUAUAUCCAGGUUUUCUUUGCCCUGCAGGUUAUUUCUUGGCAUUUGCUAUUAUAUGCAGCUGUAGCAUAAGUGUUGGUAUUCUGUGAUGCCAUCUUACCAAUUCUGCAGUUUUAUAUGGCUAAUAAUAAACAAUGAACUGAUUAAAUACCUGAUAACAGUCUUUAAAGAUACUAAGUAAACAGAUCACACAGAAUUGAUGUUCAAUAAAAUUUAUUUCUGUCAAACUACAAAAAUGUUGACAUUACUCUAAAUAUGCUACAUGAAAGGUAAAUGAUAAAAAUACACUGUAUACGAAUAGUGAUGCUUUUUUCUCUUAAUGAUGUACAUUAAACAUUCUAGAGGAAUUAUAUUUCUUUGUAAACCUG
Molecule: long non-coding RNA, 3400 nt
Filed under: Paramuricea clavata
Lineage: Eukaryota; Metazoa; Cnidaria; Anthozoa; Malacalcyonacea; Plexauridae
Source: RNAcentral